This 465-nucleotide ribosomal RNA is filed under the name uncultured bacterium. RNAcentral's name for it is "partial 16S ribosomal RNA". It matches the Rfam family "Bacterial small subunit ribosomal RNA", at positions 28 to 507 of the family's 1533-position model. The record is from RNAcentral.
GAUGAACGCUGGCGGCGUGCUUAACACAUGCAAGUCGAACGAUGAAGCCCAGCUUGCUGGGUGGAUUAGUGGCGAACGGGUGAGUAACACGUGAGUAACCUGCCCUUAACUCUGGGAUAAGCCUGGGAAACUGGGUCUAAACCGGAUAGGAGCGUCCACCGCAUGGUGGGUGUUGGAAAGAUUUAUCGGUUUUGGAUGGACUCGCGGCCUAUCAGCUUGUUGGUGAGGUAAUGGCUCACCAAGGCGACGACGGGUAGCCGGCCUGAGAGGGUGACCGGCCACACUGGGACUGAGACACGGCCCAGCCUCCUACGGGAGGCAGCAGUGGGGAAUAUUGCACAAUGGGCGAAAGCCUGAUGCAGCGACGCCGCGUGAGGGAUGACGGCCUUCGGGUUGUAAACCUCUUUCAGUAGGGAAGAAGCGAAAGUGACGGUACCUGCAGAAGAAGCACCGGCUAACUACGUG